This 569-nucleotide unclassified non-coding RNA is filed under the name Penaeus chinensis. RNAcentral's name for it is "uncharacterized LOC125030665, transcript variant X2". Lineage: Eukaryota; Metazoa; Arthropoda; Malacostraca; Decapoda; Penaeidae. The record is from RNAcentral.
CUUUUAAGGGCUCCCAGAGUCAGUUAAGUGUGUUUAUGAUGGAAAAUAGUGCACCACAGAGUGAAUAAUAGUGGAAGGAAAAAUGGAAAGACAGAAAUGUUUAAGCAGUUACACCGCCUUCUCGGGAUCGCUAUGAUCAGCAAUGUUGUGAUGUUUGGUACGUCUUUAGUUAAGGCGAGGUUCAACUGGCUUUCUUUACGCGGGGCCCCGACCCAUGUUCGUCUGCCCUACCAAACGUAGUGUUUCAAUUGCGGAAACGGCCUCCGUACCAGCCCAAACAUACCCAAGGAUUGACUACGCGUUAGCACGGACCACAAGGAUAGUUUCCUUUAUUUCGCCGUAGUUUUGUGUAUUGUAGCUUUUAACUUUGUGAAGAAUGAGGAAAGAAUACCUAAGAGAUCAUGGGUUGAGGCAUGGAAACAAGAAAAGACCUGAGUGCCAUAAUUAUGCUAGUGAAGGAGCAGGCUCCGGAGGACGGUCGCGGGUUUUACAAAUUUUGACCAUGGAGAAGAAGGAUACUCAGCGGAGAAGGCAAUUCCUGUAGACCAUCGAUUGGCAUUAACACUGCG